Long non-coding RNA from Drosophila yakuba, 20781 nucleotides. RefSeq lists it as uncharacterized. The record is from RefSeq and is a predicted model, not a curated record. Lineage: Eukaryota; Metazoa; Arthropoda; Insecta; Diptera; Drosophilidae. The transcript is spliced from 2 exons.
GUGUAUGGUAAGAACUAAGGCAAAAGCCAUAAAUGUGCAGUUAAUGUCUCAGAUGUCUCAGUAAAUGAAAGUGAUGUUAGCAAAUCCAAGCAAACAAAUCUAAGCUAAACAGAUCGAAAGCCCUAUUGCAAAUUAAGUGUAAGCUCCGACCCUUUAAGAAUUAAGUUGGCUACUGCCGCAGCCUAAUAAAUCUGGAGGCGUCUCGCCAGGCAGAAAGAUAAAUCUAACGGAGGGCCGAAACUAAUUUCAUUAUCAAAAUAUAAACACGAAGACUGUGCAGGUCAGACUUCGGUUAACCUUUCCUUUUUGUUUGAGCUGUAGACCUGGCAGCAAAAAAAGGACCAAACAAAUAUUAAUUAAUACAACUUCUAAAUUAUUUUUGGGGGAAAAGUAAAUUUGGCCGGACACUGGGAAACAAAUGUGAGCACAAAAAGUUGGUCAAAGUUUGUACUUAGCUACAUUUUUUACCUUAAUUAUAAGUUGUUGCGAAUUGGCACAGCAAUUCGUUUUAAGGUCUAAAAUAGAAAAAGUUUGGCAGGACAAUCUGAAGUUGAAGCAUUUUAAUUAAUGUGAGCAGCAGGGGAGUGAUGUGUUGUCAUGCUUUUAAAUAAAGUGUCAGACCAAAUAUUUGUGGAAAAUUAAAUUAAAGCUCUGUGGAUUCUGCAGCUGCCUUUCCUUUGGAUUUAUUCAUUUGAAAAAUGUUCAUCGAGCGGCCUAGUAGCUCGAACAAAUUAUCACACAUACGCCGUGUGUGCGGCCCAGGUGUUCAGAUAAACUUUGCUGGCUGGCACAGCAAUUAGCAGUAUUUAGGUGUAAUUGCGAAAUUAUGCAAAAAUCACAGACUGCCGGCAGGUCGUUGGCAGAUAAGAGGGAAUUGGAGUGACGAGGGAGAAAACGAAGUGCUGCAGCCACAGGAUAUUUCAUUUCCAUGCCCGACUUGCUGACAUUUUGUAAUUUUAUGCUCGUUUAUUUCUGACCUUCCUGUCACCUCUUAAGCGUAUUAGAAAAAUGCCAGUGAUAAUUGCCAAAGUCCCUGCCUGUUUCAUUCUCCAAGGCAUGUCGGCUUUUAAUGAUAGUUUUGGGACCCGGCCACCGGAAUGCUGGGAGCUUCUAGGCCUCGGUCACGUAGCUAUAAUGAAUGCCCAAGCCAGAGACUGAGUUUUGUCGUCUUUCCCUCGUAGUUGCGGAACAGUUUUUAGCAAAGGUCUGCCUUAUUUGGAGCUGGCCUUUGUUUAAUUGCCAAAUAGGGCAAUUAAUAGGCUCGUCUGGCGAAAUCCCAGCACUCGCAUUACCUUUAUUUACUUUUGUAGAUAUUAUCGGCCGUUUCAGCAGUUUCGUAGGCUCCACAGGGAUAUGUUGGCACAGAAAGCAUGUUGAAUUGCAGGAAAAGGAUAGGGAUGUAAGAUUAAAUGGACGAAAUUUGAUAUUUAAUGGUGCACUGUAAAGCUUACACUUUUAUGUGCAGCACAGACGAAAACAGUGGCGCUCUUUCAUUUGACUAAUUGCGUUUUAAGGCUUUUGAUAAAUAAACCUUAAGAUAUUUCAAAUCAUAAUAUGCACAUACGAAGACGGAAUGGUAAUUAAUUUACUUUUGCAUGAGCAUUGCGAGAUUGCAACUAAUGAGCAAUGAGUGACAUGGUUGUGAGCCACUUGCAGGCAGAGAAAACAGCUAAUUAGCAAACAAAUUCGGGGAAGUAAAGGAGCGACUACAUGCUCUUUGAAUGAAUGCUGCGGAGAUGUCAACAUAAAUAAUCAUGCUGCGUUCAACGGGGCGUAUGCUCAAUAAUUAAAACGAAUUAGCGUCUCCUAAUGAGCAUGCAAGCGCGCACUUUUCUAUUAAUUUAUUUAUGGUCCAACAGAGCCAUAAAGGCGGAAACGUAAAUAAACUUUGACGCACCUCCUACCUGCGCUCGACCUGUUGCCCCUGCGGCCAGGCCAUUAAUUCUCAUGAGUAAAAUAAUUAGAAAAUCAAAUAGAAAAACGCCAGGGUGGCUCUGCGUCAAAUGUUUUCGCAGAACUCGGCUGCUCUGUUUGUCGGGUUGUUUGUUUGUCGGGUUGCCGGGUUGCAUAGCAUCCGGCGGAAGCGGAAAUGGCGCAACUGUGCUAAACUAUAACUUGCGCGUAAAGUUAAGCAACUGCACAAAGUUUCGGCUCGAAUGCUGCCAACGGCAGGGCGUGGCAAGUGCUAGAGUGUAAGUUCGCCAAGGGAAUUCGCUACAUUGCCCUCAGAUGGAAGCUAAAAGUUUGAGUAUGGGGGAGCACACUAAAAGAAAUGCAUAUUGAAUGCAGUUCAUCUGCGUAAAAAUAUUUUAUUCAGUGGUGUAACCGAAGUAAAAUCAGACAUAAAAUUAUGGGCAGAAAUUCAGCCCCAGUGUAGCUUGUGAAAGCAUUUCGCUACAGUCCGGCUAAAGUCCCAGUUCCCAGUCAGAGUUUUAAUAUAUACAAGUUUUCCUAAAGUAAGUCUUAUUUAGAAUGCAUACGUUGCUCCCGAAAUGAACUAUCGCUGAAGGGAAUCAGCUGUCAUAUCAACGCGCCUUUGACAAGUGCGAAUAAGCGAGGCGAAAGACAAAAGUUCUGCGGCAAACUUCAGUGAUUAAAUCCGAUUUGACAGCGGUAGGCGGGAAAAGUGCAGGUGAAGAAGUCAGAGGUAGGGGGAAAAAUUGCAGUCGGCUUCAGAUAGUGGCGAAUUGGGGUCGUGAUGUGGUUACUGCUGUCACAACUUGUUAGCCAAGUGCUGCUAAUUAUGCAAUUAUUUUUUCGCAUUUCCCCACAGACUUUUACGACUUUUUUACGACACUGCGCAACUUUUGCUAACUGUGCGAAAGUUUUUUAUGGCGCCGCGGACAAGUGGUCAGCGAUUUAAUUUUAAUUGUAUUUAGAUAAGAUUUAAUGGUGUUUGUUCUAAAGCAGAGCAAAAGCAGAAAGUUAAUCAACUCCCAGAGAUGCUAAUUUGCCUGCAGUUCGCGUCCACUUUCUUGCCACUUUUUCCGCCGCGCAAGUGAGUCAUUCCGAUGGCAAAGGACACUGCGUGCGGCUCCUACAUACAUACAUAUGCUGGAGUAUGAUAUAUUUCACGGUGCCUGCACAACAGUAUGUGCCGUAAAAUAUUUAGUGCUUAGUCCUGUGGCCUCCACAUGCGCAUUUUCGGCGGUUCCGCAGGAUUACCGUGAGCAGCAGACAAAAAUAAAUAGAGAGCGCUAAGCAUGCUCCAAAACGCCCAACAAUAGACCGUGCCUUAUAUAUGUAUGUAUGUAUGUACAUAUGUACGGCCAUUUGUGCACGUGUGUGUGCAUGUGCCACAUACCCGUACAUGUGCCGUACUAUUCAACGACAAGCAGCAAUAAUGAUCUUUUUGUUACACAUGGGCGGUGGGCGGUGGGCGGCUGGCUGGCGGGGGUCGGGGGGCGCGACAAAGCAAACAAACAUCGCACACGCACACACUCCCGUUCGCAGGAGUGCAAAUACCCACACACACGCACAGGCGGACAGCAUUUAUUUUUGUUUGUCAUGACUUUGCGCUUUUGCUGUGAGGAGAAAGUAGGAAGGGGAACGGAGAAAGGAGAAAGCAGCGCGGAGAAAGUGGAAAUGGAAAUGGAGUGCAAAAGGGAAGGGGACGACCAGUGGCAGUACACGCCAUUUUUCGGCGCUUUGUCUUUUUUUUUUCUCUCCGCUCUGUUUGCAUUUGUUAGCAUACAAUUUGGCAUCGGCACACACGGCGGAUGGAUUAUUAUUUUGUCGCUAAAGUCAACAACUAGCUCGCAAGGGCUUUUGAUGUAAGCGUAUAAGGGAAAUUGCCCACUGGAAAUGGUUAGCUACAGUGCACUUUCGCAUUUCCAUUUUCCCUGCAAGGGAAACCCUUAAUUGUGAGUUACUAAACAAAGCAUAUUGAAUGUAGUCAUCUUAUUUGGCCAUUACUUUAAUGGCAGUGGGCACUGCAAUUUCCCUUAUGCAUUAUACGAACCACUUUAAUCUAACUGCUUCGUGUGCAGCUAACCUUUGGCUUACGAACUAGCUUUCCAUGAGGUCCCAAACGCUGUAAUUAAUUUUACCACAGCACGUUUGCAGAAUUCAAAAUUCGCGACAAUUAUUUAAGGCCGUGGGUCCGCAAGCCCUGGCUGAAAUAUUAAAUUAUUUGCCGGCCAUAAACAGGGCUUCAUGGUCAGGCAAGGGCGCACACGCAGUAAGUAGGCAAUGGAUUUUUUCAAUUUGCGUUACUUGCCAAGAUGUUAUGCAAGUCACGCUCCGAUCCGGCCUGCACACAAGCAUAUACGAGUAUGUGCUUGUAUAUGUUUAUGUAUUUGUAUAUAUGUGUAGUUAUAGGGAUGUAUACAAGCGGAGGGGAAAGUGGGCAGCGGUAAUUCACAAUAUCAUGUGCUCAAUGGGCUGUGAGUCUGGUGAGGCUGGGGAAUCCCCGCACCAGUCGCAGUUGCUCUUUUGAUUUAUGCGACAUUUCCACACAUUUGCCUGCCAUUAACAUUUUGCUUCGUUGUCUGUCAGCCGGCAAACCUUGUCGUCUCAUCGUCGUCCUCCUCGUCCUCCUCGUCCUUGUCGCUCCUGUUGCCAGUGUCCUUGUUCGAUGUCUUUUGUGUGUCAGCAGUUCGCUGCACGGCAGCCUUCAUUCUGUUCUUGCACAGAUUGAAAUUGAUUGGGAACUCCCGGCAGAUGCAGCAGGCAUCUUCCUGGAGGAACCAACUUUGGCUGAGGGCAAACUUUUCUCUACGCAGCUCAAGAAAUGACAGGAAGUUCUGUUACCACGAAGAGAACUACUGAAAACAUGACUCGCCUGCUCAUGAAAUUUUAAUUUUAAACUGUUUCCGUAAACAAAAGCAAGAGAAUGCAAUUUAAUACGCUGCUAUUGAGCUAAAUGCUGCUGUGUGGUUUCCAUAGUUUCCAAAAUGGGCGUUGUAUUUUUCGGUCAGGUGGCCACGGGGCGUAUGCUUAAUAAAAGCAAACCACUGAGGAAUUCAGUUUAGAUAAACUUGAAUGUAUCUGGCUCAACUCGAAAAGUGAAAUAUUGCUGAGCACAGACAUAAGUAUAAUUUAACCGAAAGAGGUUAUUUGGGCCCCAAUCUUCUACGCAUAUAUGAAAAUGUUGCCUGAUGCUGAGUGGCUGCCUAAGUGCCUGGCCGUCUGGACCCGUUUCGAGUGCUUCAUCCAAAACACAUCUCCUCAUCCGAAACACAUGUACGGGCCAUAUUCACGAGGUAACUACAAGAAUAACCAUCCGGCUCAGCGACCCAACUCCGAGUAGAGAAAGUGGAGAGCGGAAAAGGUACUGGCGCCCCAGGAAGGUGGCCCAGGUCAGAGCACGCAGGAUGGCCAGAAAAGUGGGUGCCAGGGGGAAUUGAAAUUUAUAUUUACGCAGCCCAUAAAUUUCUGGCUUUUCGGCUCGUCCCUUCUGCUGGGAGCUAGUGCUUAGGCUGCCAGUGGUGCUCAAGCUAACUAUUUUCAUGCGGUGUUCAUAAAUAUGAGUCGCAAAGAAAUGAAACCAACUAGACGAUGAAAGUAUUAGGAACAUGGUUACUGAAAGCCACAUGGCUUACAAAUCAACUUUGAGCGGCAAUAUUAUUUUUGUUCUUCUCGCUUUUAUCGCUUUUUUAAAGUGUGCGAGGGCUUUUGGAUGCAAAUACUUAGUAACAUAUAUGUUUGAAUAUUUGUUUAUUCCACCAUUACUUAAACAAAAUUAUGAAAAUUAUCGGAGUUUAAAACCAUAUGUCAAAUUAUUAUUACCUACACAAUUUGAUUUAGUUUUUAGUUUAUAAUAUAUAUUUAUCUAUUUGUUUUUGCCAUGUUCAUAGCUCCUUGAUGGAAAACUCUGAGCACACAUCCUGUUUGCGGAAGAGGGAGCGUUGGUGGGCGAGGUGGCGUGGGUGGGCUGUCAUGUUGCACAUCCCAACUUCUUGGCUAACCCACGCACGUCUGCCGGCGACAAGUUUUGGGCCGGGCCCUUGUACUCGGCUUGUGCGUGUCUGCGGCGAGUAAUCAAAUUAAAAGUUGGAGCAAGGAAUUGCUUUUAAAGGCAUUAGGCCGGCGUCAAGUCUUUAAUGUUUCAUGUGAUCGUUAGCAGCGGGCCGUGGCUGGCGAAAAUCUUUACAGCUUGCAAUCUUCCUCAAUUGACAGCUCUGCAAAUGCGAUGCUGGCACGCAAUCAGCCAUCUGCGAGAUUGCCAGAGUGCCAGGGUGCCAGGGAGCAGGGUGCCAGAACUCAGGAACAGAAACUAGGGACGCGCACAGAUAAUAACUUAAUUACAGCUUAGUGUGCCAGUGGGUCGUGUGGCUCCAUAUUUGGGCAAUUACAAUGGGCCAGGCUACACCUGGCGGCCGGAAACAUGUGUAUUAUCAAAUGCCACUCAUUAGGCGCCCGUCGCCCGGCGGCCCCCCUUGUGUGGUAAUUUAUCUCAAACGCUCUGCGGCCUACACGUGUACAUGGGCACUCCACACUGCCCCUUCCACACUCCACUCCCGAUGACAGGAGGUAAGUGAGUAAGGUGAACGUGUAGCGGCUGAGAUGGCAAAAAUAAUUAAGCCACGCUAUGCUUAAAGCAUUAACAUCGGAUCUAGACAGCGGCAACCACAUCCACGGCAGAUUGCUAGGGCUCCAGUGUUGGCGGCGUGACAACUGAGGGAAAAGUUUCCCAAGAUAGUUGCCGUGUAAGUGCAGGAAGCUGCAGUGAAAUAAUUUAGGCUUCAGCAGUUUUCCAGUGUCGAUUGAAGGCAGGUGGAACCAAUUUGACAUAUUCCCUCAUGGCUUCAACAAAUAAAGUUUUUGGAAGAACUACCCAAAGUUCGAGGCCACUGUAAGAAAGAGGCAUUUUAACUCCAGAGCAGGCGACUGAAACGGUUUCCUCUCUCGGCCACCUUAAUUGGCCCUGAGACCACGGUAACGUAACGGUGUCUGCUUGACUUGCACUUUCACCCGGCGCCAUUAGACACGAAACUUAGCCGAGCUUCGUCUGCAGUAAGUGCUGUAGUGGCCCACCCAUCCGCCCACCGUUUCCAGCACACCCAUCCACGCCUUCGCACACGCAUUUCAUUUUUCCCACUAAGUAUGGCUUGGCUAAAACGGCAUUUAUGGUCACGAUUUUCAACGGCUCUGCGAGCGUGGCUGCCUGAUGAUUUUGCAUGUUUAGCGACGUCUGCGCCGGCGCCUAAUUGAAUCUGCAUGGCAGGGGCGGCGUCCUGAGGAGGCUGUCAAGUGCGACAGAGUGGUAAAUUAAUUGGCUUUCGGGCGGAGAGGCAGUUUUGCUUGUUAUUUUUAACUCUUUUGCCAGUUACAAAGUGGUUGCAAGGUUAAGCCCAACCAAGGCAGUGCGGCUAAAAGUCGGCCAGCUACAUUUGUCAACCGCAAAACCAAAUUUCUGGUUUAUAAUUGACUUCGGCCAAGGAAUCCAUUGCUGAUAGGUCACUUUGCAUGCUGCGAGGCAGUCUGGAAUGUAAGUUGUCUGGUAUCGAGCAUCCAAGACUUUUCCACAAGAAUCGCAGGAUGUUAUUUUAUCAGAAAACUAAUGUAAUUAAUCUACAAAUUCCAGGUAUCAGGUAUUUCCAUUAGCUGCAAUAGAUACUUAUUCAAUGGAAACCAAAAAAUGGCAAUUAAAGGCAGCAUUCAACAGAGGCUUAAAUCGAAAUACUACAGAAACUCAAUCCGGGAACCCACUGCGAUGUGGGUGGAAGUAUACUGGGUAUACUGGGUCGUAAUUAGAGCGAUCAGAAUCCACCGGAGCAGGAACUGAAAUUUAAGGGCUUUAUUCCCUUUGGCUUACUUUUACGGUUCCAGCUUUAAUUAAAAGUAAAUUCAGGCUCCACUGGACGGGCACAGCGACCUUAGCGCUCCGACCCCGUUAUUGGCAGCCGUGCGGCGUAUUUAAGCCGUAAAGUACAAUUUGGGACAUGAACGUGGAGGGCCGGGAAACAACAAGAGCCGGAAACGUGUGACACAUUUGACCCUUUUUUGCAGCUACCACUUGGCAUAAUCAAAUUUACGCAGUCUGGACGCUCGUGCAGCUGUUGUGCCGAAUGCCUUUCCGGUUUCCUCUCGACUUCCGUUUGUCUAACUCGUUGGCUGGCUCUUGCCUAUAUUGGUUCCAUAUUAAAAUGGGCUGUCAAAUGGCUUGAAACUGCUGUCGUUUCCCAUUUUCCAAUUGUGCUUUGUUUGCCGUUUGCAUUCCCGUAAUUCUCGAUAGCCGAAUAUGUUUGAGACCGUGGCAAAAGUUUUGACAACUGAAUAUACACGCAUUUAUAUUCGAAGCGAAUGUGCGUUUUAUAUGGCUGUUGGCACGUUUUUGCGUUGAUUUCUCAGUUCAGUUCUCAGGCAAUGAGAACACUAAAAAUUCAGCCUACACCAGUUUUGACUGCUUGUUUUCUUUGCUAACUUAACGCAGUGCAAGUCUGCAAUUAUUUGUUUAUGAAUUUUCAAAGACUAAUUAAAAAUAAAAACCUCAGACGCUGCUUGAAAUAUUUGACUUGACGAUGAGCAUCUCUUUAAUAUGCGAAUCUGUGAAUAUCCGCUUUCUCAGCUGUUGUGUUUUUGGGACGAACUCCCUUGUUGGAAUGUUUUUGUGAACAAUUGUCACCCUUUGCUCUUUGCCGACCCUUCGGCGUAACAAUUUAAUGUGCUUAAGGAAUUUUGACACAAUUUUGGCAAUAAUAUCGAAAUCGGCGACCCUUUUCCGGGUGUCCUUUGAACAGCUCACGAAGUCAGCCCUCGGCGAGGUAAAAGGUCCUGUUCCUGCAGUUUCCAGCUCGCCAAUUACACAAACUCUGGGCAUAAAUGUGCUUAAAAACUGCUGAAGCCGCCCGUGCCACAGAUCCUUUGUCUAACCAGCUCUUGUGGUGCGGCUAUUAACGUUUUCAGACAACAACUACUUGCAGCUGGCAAAAAUCGUGGGGAUUUUACAUCUUUGCGUCUUUUAUUCAGCUGCCUGUUUAUUUUGCCAUGUUUAUCUGCCUCAUCGUAAAAAUAGAAAUAAAAAUAAAAAUAAAAAAAUAUUUAUGCAACGCUAUGGGCUGCUUCGUGAGAUUUUUUAUGACCCCGUCCGCCGAGCUAUUAAAAGGCGAAAGCGGGGGAAUACACACAUUUUUGAAAAUUGGCCGCCAAACGAAAGGCAAAGGCUGGCUGAAGGACGAGCCCAGAUUUGGAGCGCGUUUUCGGGGCCCAGGACCUUUUAUUAAUUCCAAUACAUUGAAUUUUCCGUAGACAAAAAAGCGUGUUUAGCAUGGCAAGCCGAUUAGGGCCGGGUCCGUCAGACUUUAAAGCCUUUAAAAGGCUUACCGUGCUGGCCAACGGAAUGGCCUAUAAAUUUUACAUUUAACGCGGCCCGAGGAUGACUCUUUUCCAAGGAGCCAGGACGCCAGGAUGGCAGGACAACAAAUUUGUCCGCCUCCAGAUGCUGGCAGCUCGUUGCUCUCCAGGACAUUUUUAUUUAUGAGCUGGCAAAUUAUGCGCUAUCAACGCGGGCAAUUAGAAACUCAAUUGCUGUGCCGGAGCCCAAAAACCCACAGUUCCUUGGUCCGGUUGGCAUUCAAAAUGACUUGUCAGUCGUGGCUUAGCAAAUAAUUUUGCAUAGUUAUUGGCUCAGUGCCGGAAGGUCAUUUCAAAAAUGUCAAAAGGGCUUAUAGCUUUAAGUGAGCCAUCUUUCAGUAUUAAAGCUGGACUAACUUUCUAGCCCGUGUUCUAAGCGUCCCUCUUUGAGGUAUAAAUUAAUAUAGAUUAGCGCCUGGGUGAUUUCGAGAAAUAAAUUAAAUUUUAUGUGUUAAUCAUAAUUAAUGUGAUGGUCGAAGAACAACCACUAUUGAUGUUAUGUGUUGCAAUAAAAUGCAGGCCGAUUAUGCACUUAUUUAAUUUUAUAUACUUUUUUUACUUUUUAGCUUAUGACAAAGCUUGUCACUUUGGAAAAAAUUACACUAUUUUCCUUUUUUAAGUUUUAUUUGCAUUUGUUAUUUAAUUUAAAUAUCAAUAAAAAGUUAAUUCAUUUAAUUACAUCAUUAUUUAUGUUGCGCUAACCAAUCAUAUAGAGAACAUUUCAGGACUGAGUUAAAUGUUUAAAUUCAAACAUCCACGCUCAAUUUAUCAUCCUUAAAGCCAUUUAUCGUUGAGCAGGUUUGUUGUAAAGAUUUAUCGGGACUGUUUUAAUGCUCUGACUUUACUGUCCUUAAGCCAUUUUAAUGCUGGGUCCUGGUCCUGGCCAGAAUUCGAAGAGUGAAAUCACUGCCCAGGAAACUAAUUGCACAUCAAAAACUUCGGAUGGAAACUUGAUAGAAACUUUCUGCCUGAGCUACAAAACCCUUUUACGAUGUACUAAAUUCAACGCUCUCCAAGGUCUCUGGUCAGCAACAAUGCCACGGGCUCCUCAUAAAAGUCGAAAAUCAAAAUGGCAUUUUUCGACACCAUCAAAAUGGCAUUUCGGUGCACCGAGAUGGCUAGCAUUCUAGCUUGGAGAGACGGAAAACCGCAAAUCCGCAUGUGAGCCUUGGCUGUGCAGUUAACUCAUUAAAAACGGCGAAAAAAAACCGUAUGCGUAACAUUGUUGGCGCUUUUAUUAGACCUCCUCCCUGUCCUGGCCAACAACUUCCACAUAAUCAAAAGCGCUUUAGCUGCUUUCAAAAGAUAAGCGUGGCUCAUUGCGGCCCGUCGCCGCUUUUCCGGCUUUUCCUCAGUCUCCUGCGAGGUCUUGGAUGGGUUGACUGUGUGACAUCCUGACUGUUUGUCAUAAUAAUAAAAAUGCCAAUUUGUUUUAUGGGUGACAAGUUGAGCUUGCCUUUGCUUUGCUUUGAUGUUGAUUUUUAUAUUAUGAUGUCGGAGCGCCCAUCCCCUAUCCCCCAUCCCCCAUCUCCCAUCCUUAUUCCAUAUGGGGCCACAUCCCGACCGAAAUUCCCCUCAGUAUUCAGUCAGCUUGUUUGCUCUUUCGGACCUGGGCAACAGACACGUGCUCUUUGAUACAUACUCGUAUACUUCCAUAUGAGAACUCUUGGCGAGUACGUAUAGUAGCAUAAAGCGAUUGUCUGCUGUAGAUUGAAACCGAAGUGGGAGCUCUGUGUUUAAAUCGUCAUGUGCCCAUAUGCAGUUUGUUUAAUAUUCAAAAAGGCUGCAGCAUCUUUGGGCUGAAAUGUAAAAGGGCACUGUUGAUUUGAUCGAAGUCUGUCCAUCGAAAAUAGCUUAAAGGGAAUUCGUUCGCCAAAAAAUUCGAAAGAAAUUUACUGCAACCGGCAAGUUGAAGCUGCAAUCUCCCAAAGCAAUAAAUCAUAAUCUGCCACAGGCCAUGGCCAAAAAGGUAGGAACUGUACAAACUGCAAACUACUACGUGAUUUACGACACUUAAAAAACAUGCUGGAAAAUGGCCGGGAAACUGAGUUAAACUUUAAUUCUUUGUUUGAGUUUUAGCACCAGUCACACUCUCACUUUAUACAAAUGGAAUUAAACAAGUUUGGUUUGUUUUCUUUGAUGGGAUUUCGCUUUAAAGUACAUUAAUUUUUAUUAUGAAUAUUAAUGAACUUAAAAGCACUUUCAAAUGUUUUCCUAGAUAUUAUAUUUAAGCUUAUGAAAAUAGACUGUGUUUUCGUAAGGGUCAUUGGUUUGCAUAAUUGAAAUAGUUUCACAACAUUAAAAUAAAACUCAGAUUCGUUGAUACACAAAUUAUUUCCCAAAAAAUGGUUAGUUGAUCUAAAUUGGAUAAAUCGUCUGAUUUUUUUGCAUUGUGCAUUCAAAUAUGCAUUUCUACGGAAUGUGUUGUUUGUUAAAAGUUAAUUUUUAAUUUGUAUACAAAAAAUGUCCAUAAAGUAUAAAACAAAAACAUUUUCAACAACGUAGAGCACAAAAUUCAUAAAUAGUUUCCCGCUGUUAGCUGUUAAACUGAGAGUCUUGUUUUGUGUAUACAUAUUCAUACCUAUUUAUCAUAUAUAUGUUCGCAUAUGUCAGCUUAACUGUGGUGAAAACCUUUGUCUGAAAUUUAUAUGCCCUCUGCAAGGGUAUAAAUAGGAUACUGUUUUUCUUCCUAGAAAAGAGGCAUAAUGAAUGUAAAAAAACAUUUGCUCUAUGCUUUGCAGUUUGUCUUAUUAUUUUUGUUUUGCAUUUCUUAAUUUAAUUGUAUUCAUCAGCCACAUAUUCUUUGAAUUUCAAGCGUAAAUAAAAGUUUUUUCACUUCACUGGCUGGUCCAUGCAAAUUAACACGAUUCUUUUGAGCGUUUCUUUUUCCAUUGUUUUUGUCUGGCCUUUCGAGCGCCCAAUUUGAAUUAUUGAUUGCAAAAAGUUUCCUUUUCGUUCCCGCGAAACGUCUAAAUUUGUGUGACAUCCAUCAGGCAGCCACGCCUACUUACAACACACCUCCGCUCCGAAAAGUAGCUUUUUAGCCAAUUUGAAUACACUUGCUCUUGUUUUUAUUUUUCAUAUACAUACUUACAAAUAUAUUUUCUGCUGCUGGAAAUUGUUUUCCCCAAAGUCUUUGUCUUUUGAGCUUUCGCCCCUGUGGCCGUUGAGGCUCUGUACUUGGCUUCCGGCUGUUAUCAGCCAUCGACACUUGGGACUCACUCAUUUGGGCUGCAGGAUGUGUCGUCCUUGCCUUCGCCUUCGCCUUGGCAUUCGCCUUCGCCUUGGUCUCCUUGGGCGCGGCGUUAAUGUAAUUUGGAUGCCAACAAAUAUUGCCGACGCUUUUUGUUUGAACUCCUGACUGGCUCAGUGGCUCAGUGGCUGCCUGUGGGCCACGCCACGCCUCUGCUGCAGCCCCCACUCCCUCCCUUAGGGGUGUUGACUUUAUUGAACCAUUUUUUCCACCGAACCUGAUUGACUCGUGGGCCACGUUUCCCUUUUCCCCUUCAGCCCGCAUUUUCUUCACUUCCUGGCUUUUAUUUCGCUUGCCGCAAAUUUGCUUUGGGUUCGCCUUAGACACUUAAACUCAACCGCAGCGGCAGUCGUGCAUGCCCGUUCCCUUUCGGUUCUGCUCGCCGAUAUCAGUCAAUUUCAAAUGUCAAUAAAAUGGAAAUUUUAUAAUUUUACUCCACCGCCAGGGGGGAAAGGCUUCCAUUCUCCUGCACUUUCGCACACCUCCCGCGACGCCUCCAACUUAAUGAGAUUUUAUUUAUUGACUGUUGAUAAGAGGAGAGCGUUUCUGGGCGGGAACGGCAGGAAAACAAAUCGGAGGAAGAGCCACGUCUAGGAGGCUUCUCAUGCGGUUUUGCGUGCUUUAUGGAGCCUGUUUUAUGGCUGCUUUAGUGGCUGAAUUUGGUGUUGGCUUAAACGCCGCUCGCAGUGGCGCAUACAAAUUUAUCUUUUAUCGACAUCAAUCUUAAUGGUGCAGCAGGCGAGUCUGCUCAGUCUAGAGAUAAUGAUUAAACUUUAUUAAUGAAAAGCCAUGCACAGCCAAGUAAAAUCGCUUUUAGCUACCUAAUAAACAUUAAAUUCGAGUUUAUGUGCAUUUUUUGAAUAAUUUUCUAUGAAAAAUAAAGCUCCCUCUUUUCGAAUCGAUUCAGAAACCAUUCACCCGAGCUCCUAACAUUUUUAUCUAAAUACAUCUGCUAUCCCAAACUUAGCAAAUGUUUGAUGGAUUGAUAUUUAUGCGUUUGCUUUUUUUGUAUUGCUCGGCUCGAUGUAUCCUUUUCAAGGCAAAUAUUAUGCCAAUUUUUGCUCUUGGCCGGGAACUUAUAAAAAUAAAAGAGACAGGGGGAGUCACGCACGAGCUGCCACUUUGAAGUUUCAAUUUUCGGUAUUUUAUAUUAAUUCUGUCUAUGGUUUUCUGAAUUAUUUCAAAUGCGAUGGCUUCACGUGUGUGUUUUCCUUGGCACUUACCACGCCUGGAUGGUUUAACUCGGAUCUGGCCGUUUUAGUUUUUAUUUUUCGGUAAUGUGGAGCGUAAAUGUGGCAAGGCACGUCUGAAUCGCUCCCCUUUGCAUAUUCGCACACAUUUGCACGUAACUUGUAAUGACAGCCCACAAAUGCGCAAAUGAGUUUUAAUUAAAAAGCAGGGAAAAUAAAGAAAACAUCAACAUUGCACUUUUACCCUAUAUGUAUAUGCAUGCUGAAUAAUUGAAGCCCCCGCAGAAAAAGAGGAUCGAUUUAAUGCCGUAGGCGGGCGUUAAACAUUUAAAGCUGCUUAACUUCAGUGCAUUCUUAAAUAUUGUUUCGUGAUAAUUGAAAAGCAUUCAGGUUCGGCGGAGAUGGACCCCAAAAACAGGCAUAUACGAGUAUCAUAAUUGAAAAAGGAGACUCGUGUUAAAUUUGCAAGUAAUCGUAUUGCAAAGACUGUAUAUUAACAUUAAAUAUAAAAAUGUUUUUCCAAUUGCCCUUUUUUGCAUUUCAACGAGAAUCAAAAUGUUUCAUUUAAAUUUUGCAUAAAAAGUGAGUGGCAGCAGCACCUGGCGUAUUUUACUUAAUUGUGCGACACCCCACAAAGUGUUUUUUAGUAUUGGACUGCCAACAGGGCGCAUGGGGGAUUAUUGAGUCUUUGCCCGCGGAGCUUUUUGCUGGCCAAAAUAACACAGCUGCCGCUGGCAAUGUUUUCACAAACGAAAAAGUUAUAUACAUUUUUUGCUCAGCUCAAGAUGUCCUCUGUUCGCUCUUAAAGUGGGAGGCACUUAAGUGCCUGAUAUUAAGAUUCAAGCUCGAAUGUAUUUAAUAGUUGGAUGAAAAUAAUCUUUUUCGAUUAUUUUACAAAAUAAGAACCGAAUUUUUACAAAAAAACUUAAUGCAAAUUUUGUAUUGAGUGAAUCUUUCCAAUUGCUGUUCCUACUGCCUUGUCUUUUAUGACACAAUCCGAUAUACGGAACACAUUUUCAAACGAUUCCCCCGACACUCAACUUAAAUUCACACUUUAUAGCCGGGACAUGAAAAGCUACACAUACGCCACGUAAGCCGGCAGUAAAGUUAAUUUUAUUUUACACGCACAAUCAUAAAAAAUGCAUUGGCAGCUCAAGUGUCUUGUCAGACGCCUUCGAAAUCCGAAAACUCCGACUUGAAACCUAAUUAUUUACGAGUUGCCGUCAGUCGAAAAACGGCCGAGGGCGUUAAAAAGUCAAAUUAUAUGCAUAACAUAAAAAAUACGACUCUUACGUGUGCUCAAAUUAUAUUUUGUACAACCAAUUCGUUUCGUUUACUGGCAUAAUAUUUCUUGUGUUAGCACCUAUCCACCUAAUUUGAAGGCAUUUUUUUUUGCCAGCUUUUUCAGCCUUUUUUCCUGGUCACUUGGGCACUGAAAUAUUAAUGCACAGUCCGAAGUCCCGGGGCCAUAACAUCUACCUAACGGCCAAGCUUGGCAUAAUGUAAUGUAUUAUCUCGGCUUACUUAAAUUGCAGUUUGGCCCAAAGCAACGCCUCUGUGCUCCUGUGGUCAGUGAACUCCAUAAAAUAUUGUUAACACCAUGUGCAAUUUUCAAUUUGCAUUUCUGCAGCUUUUCGCACAGGGCGCUCCACGUCCAUCCUGUUGCAUGUCGAGAGCCCCUAAAUUUCCAAUUUGUUUUGUGAUUUUGGGGCAGAUGGGAAAAAUCGGAGUGCAUGCUUAGCUCCGCAGGUCCGCAAGUCGUGUAAAUGAUUAUCCGUGGGCCAAAUUGCAGUUUCCCUAAACGGAACUUAGCCUGCAGCAUAAAUUAAAACAGCGCGCAAUUUAGUUUUCACCAUCCUGCAAGCUUGGCCAACUUCUAUUGUAAUCUUUUUGGGUAUUCGGUUCAUAAAAACGCCAUAAGCUGUCACCAGCAGCUAAAAGGCGGAAGGGCCAUAAAGCAAAUGCGCUGCCCUUUUUGUUACAAUUAUGUACAUUGUUUAUGCAGGAUACGAGUGUGGUUUGGAAUAAGGCGAAAGUUAAGCAAAAUAAUAAUUUAAAUAUUCAUACAAAUAGAGACUGAAAUAAGCUGGGUAUCUUUUGAAUUAAUGUAUCUACCCUGUAUGGCAUUUCCGGAGAUCCUGCAAGAAUAUAUUUUACUGGGUCCUGCUGCCUGACACAAGUUUUCACCAUAUAGAAUCUCAACUUGUAUUUAUUGAAUUUUACUUGCAUGUUUUAUGGCUGUUGCUUAAGUUUCGAUAUGCUGAAAGCCCUUGCUCUAAACUCUUGUGCAGGAAGAGUUCCAGUUUUCUGUGAAUAAAUGUCAUAAAGUGUUGAUUCGCCCGGCAGCACGGGCUUCAUAAAUACAUACAUUGGAUAGGCAAAUAAAUUUGAGCUCGGCUGAGUGCAUUUCAGCGUAUUGUGCCCUAUGCCAGCAUUCGAUUUCCGAACCAAUAUAGUGUCAGAUUGCCCUCGCCAUCUGGCUGCUGCUGCUUUCCGCUGGCUGCCAUUCGAGCCAGUUUGCUGAUAUUGACUGUUAGCCAGCAGCAAGCACACACAAACUUAUUUGCGCUUACUGAGUUGCCAUAAGGAUCUCGGUCCUGCCAAGUGGCAAGCAAACAUGGUGUGGAUUAUUUACAGCGCCGUGCACAGCCAUUUGCGAAAACGAUGUCCUCUGCGCCGCACCUCCCACCGCGCACAAUCCUGGGGAAAUUAAGGGAAGAGUGUGAACCUCUCCGAUAAGCGGAGGAACUCUGAGGGCUAUCAUGCUUAUGACAUGGAAUUGUGCAAACCAGAUCGCGUAGCUGCACACUACCAUCAGACUGCUCUGCUCCCUGCGUCUGCCACUCGAAACUGUGAUUUUCCAUGACUUAAAGGUGUUGGAGGUGGCACGUUGCAUAAUGUAAUGGACAAUUUACUGUGAGCCAAGACUUCAGAGAGGAAAAUCCACUACCUUCAUUAUUUAACUAUGUUUCAAUUUACACCAGAUUUAAACACAAAGAUGCUUAGCUCUCAGAAUAUCCAAAAAUUGCUUAAACAAAUUACAUUUACAAACCUUUUCUCUAUGCGGAAACCGACCCUAAGAAGUAGAACGCAUAAAUAAAGAAUACCAAUGGUCAAAUGGUCAAAAUAGUUUUUGUACAUUUAUAAAAAUUCUAUGCAUAGUGAACAUACUUUAUGUUCUACGGAUUAGAAAGGAAAGCCCAUUGUCCGUUUGUUGUAAACGCGCAGCGGAAUUCAAUUAGCCAAAUGACCGAAAGCUGGCCAGUAUUCAAAUCGAAUUUUAUAGGAGCCAGCCCACUAAGUAUGGUAUGCAUAAUGGGAUAGUGGUUGUUUCACUGGCAGUUACCUAAUCCGUAUCCGUAAGAAGGACCAUGGGCGUUGUUUUUAGGCCAAAGUGCCAGGUGCUUGAACAUGCCAGAGGAUUUGGGAGGGAAGUGGACGAAGGAAAUUCGAGGAGAUGGGUCCAAAACUAAUUAUGAAAAUUUUCACUUUACGACCGCGUUGCUUUUAGACUUGUUUGGUCUAAUGCGCGUAUUUGUCGAGCUGAAUUUAAUUACUGCAGAAUUGAAAGCAUUCUCGCAUUUCCAUUGAGCUUGGUUCGGUGGACCAAAGGAAAUAUCAUACGCAAGACAAUACACAGUACACGUGGUGAUUGGUGGGGCUUCACUGGCAGCAAACUAUUCAUUUUCAGCAGGUUCCUGUUUGAUUUGGCUCUGUUUGCUGGUCGGCAUGCCAUUUGAUUAAGCUUAGGGUUUGAGGUUUUCCUGCCACUGUCAUGUGGAAGAAAACAAUUUGCUGCUAAAUUGCUACAUGGCGUUGCCUGUUGAUUUCCUGUCAUCCGUCCCCUAAACGAUUGUGAUUGUGAGUGUGUGUGUAUGUGGGAGUGCAAGAGUGUGUGCGGCAGGAUAAUUGCAUUUUUAUAUGAGACUUCCGCUACAUUUCACUUAAUGGCUCCGUUUGAUUUCCGGCUCUUUUGUGCCACUAUUUGAUUUUUGCCGCCUUAAAGGCAUUUGAUUGCUUUUCAUCGGGUCUCCUAUUAAGUGGCAUUUGUCAUUGGCGCUGAAUUGAAUUCAUUGUUACAAUGGUGCUCGGAACCUUUGUAUUUAUUUAAAGGCAAUAAUUAAUUACAAAAGCUUUUCACACAUAAGAGCAUCAAAUUGUUAUGUUAUUGUUGAUGACGAUUAAUUCAAUUAAUUUGCAGGCUUACCGGCCAUAACUUUAUUAAAACACAAGUUGGGUGCUCAGCAUUAACAUGGAAUUUAAUAUGCCAUCGGUUGCAAACAAGCCAAGUCCUAGAGAAGCCAUCUCCAUUAAGGCCAUCCAACUAUUUCAGUACCGACCCCGAUUCGGGCCAAGCAAUGGGGCCAUCUACGCCCCAGGCGCGGUGGGUUCGUCCUGGCAAAUACAUAAAAAUACUGGCGAAUAACAAUAAAACCUAGGAAAUUAUUGAUACGAGCCCGGCAAAUGGGCAUGGAAAUUGCUUACCAAUGCGCAGAACGCCACGUGCAAGGACUUCCAUUCCGUGGGCUCAGUUCAGUAGUCUCACUGAGCAAAUAUGAAUAGACUAAAUGGACGGCACGUCAUGCAUGCCGAGGACCCACUAAUAUCAAAACAAAUAUGCUCGGCCCACGCAGGCAAAGUUUUAUGCCAAAUACUUUAAGGCAAACUUUAUUAGCUCCCAAAUACCUGAGAUUUCGCCCGGAUUGAGCGGAAAAAGGGAACCCGAGCAGCCUGGCGAAGGCCCAAGGCCAAUGGAACUCUAGACAAAGCAAAGCUCCAUCUGGACCCGAGCGAAAGGCAAGGGGCAGCUGUGCCUACACUAGAGAAGUGUAAUUGAUUUCAUGUGUUUGACGCGCUUUUGCCCCGGGGACCUCUUAUAAUCCCAACUAAGCACGCAGACAAACAGAGUCGAAAUUAAAGGGAAGCUUGGGAAGAACAUUGAACUGCUUGACAAUCCGGGGAAGGGGUUUUUUUUUGUCCUACAUUUAUUAUUAGCUCAUAAAGAAACCCUGAGUUCUCUAUCCCCUUUACCCUGUACCCUGUACCCAUAACAAAUAUCUGGAACAUUCUUCGUCUGUGUGUACCAUUGAAUGCCGUGUGCUGGGAAUAUAAAAUGGGCGAGCAGAAAUCACCUGAUUGAUCAUUCACCGCAGACAUGGCCAAUUUCAUAACUUUGGGCCGCCCAUAGCUCUGGGCCACCCGAAUCUUAUUGCCCGUAAUACAUUUGCGCGAUAAUAAAAUUAAAAAAUGUAUUCACACAACUGUCACAAAUUCGCAGGAGCGUAGGCGAGACGUAUCUGCACAUGGAAUUUGAAAUGUCGUGAUUACCAGCUACCUGAUCCCUCGUCGCCGUUGAGGCUGCCAACUUUCUGUGUUCCUGGCAUGUCAACGAAAUUUAUCACAGACUCACAUUUGUAACUCGCAAACGAGGAGACGAGGAGAUGUUAGGCAUUUGCAUGUCUCGCCCCGACGAAUUAUUCAUAUUUUGGGUACGAGCAGCGUACUUCUGGGGCCUCCAUGUGUUACUAUUAAUUCUGUGUUCCUGCCGGCAAAUUGAAGGCGACGCCUGAUCCUGGGCCAGGACAUUAGCUGGAGCCCAAGAGGCUCAGGUGUGUGACAGGGGAUUGAAUGUUGCUUGAUGUGAAAUUUUCUUUAUUGUUUCGCCGACGAAUUUAUGCAAAUGCCACACUUCGGCGACUGCUUGAAAACGACAGCAAAUGAGAUGUGAAAUUAGAAUACGUAGGCCAUAAAUCACCCCACCCCACGUAAAAAUGUUGCAAAAUCAAGAGCAUAAUUGUACGGCUAGGCAAUCUACUUCUAUAGAGCAACCAAUAAGUGGUUCCAAAGAAUUUUACACAAACUAAUAUCAACAAUACCCUAAUGAGUGCGCUCGUUAUUUUGCGAUGUACACAACUGAAGUAUUUCCUUUGAUAUAUUAAGAAAGUUUACUCUUGAACAUGCACAUUGCACAUUGAAGAGCACAAAGAGCUUUUAACACUCAGUAGUGCUUGAAAGUUAAAUGUCAAAGAAAAUAAAUACUGAAGUAUUAAAAGUACGACUCAAUUUAUGCCAGAUGUACACUCCGCUCCAAGGGUCAGGUUUACAUAAAAACUCAUCAGGGUCCUUUACUUUAUGAAACUGUAAAUCGCAUCGACGAAAUCCAUUUGCACAACAGGCCGCUUGAACGGUGGGAAAAGCCAACAAAAUGAUAUCGUCUGAUGCUCUUAAAGUCUGGCCGGGAUUACAUGAAACGUUUCGGCGACAGAAGAGCGAAAUUUAACGUAAAUUCAAAUCAGCGAAAAGGGACUCGGCGAACGAACAAAAUGCUCAAUCAAAUCAAAGUCCCUAUACAAAAUGCAAAAUAAGACAAUGACAAAGCGGAGUGGGUGUUUAGCUGAGUUGGCCCAUCCAUGGGUUCUGAAAUGGGUUCGGAUGGGUUGUUCAGGGUUUCCGUGGACUGGGUGGGGAUCGCUUCUCGUUGUCCAACAAAACACGUAGAGACAAGUGUCACUGACAGCUGGAGGCAGUGCUCGUUAUGCAAAAAUAAAAAGAACGUAGAGAAUGGGCAAGAAUUUGAAAUGUACUGAAAUCGAAGUAAGCCGAAUAUGACGAAAAUUCUUUUAGAAAUUAUUUACAUAAAGUUUAUGAUAUGCAAUCUAAGAUAUCAGAGUACACAUACGGGAAAGAAUUCCCCGAAGGUUGGCUUUGUUCUGUGUACAUAUGUUCACCAAGCUCAUCCGAUAAUGGAAUCACACUUAUUGCUUAGUCGUUCUAAGGACUUUAUUAAGGGCGAAGUUGAGAUUGUCCUAAUUACGACUUUGUACCAUCAAAUUAAUCGCUGAUAGCAGUAGCGGGCUGAGGAAACAUCUACCCGACAAGUAAAAGGGACCGGAAUCACAGGAAAAGCGAUUAUCGGAUGAGAAGAGACUCUGACGGAGAAGCGACAGAUGUAAUCAAAAUAAAUUACGAGCGUGUAAGCAGCCUCCAGUCUCUAUUACGCACAAUAAAAAGGGAAAGCACCAUUUGCUUAACGCAAUCUCA